RNAcentral lists this long non-coding RNA (2768 nucleotides) under Naja naja (Indian cobra). RNAcentral describes it as "lncRNA (ENSNNAG00000017892.1)". Lineage: Eukaryota; Metazoa; Chordata; Lepidosauria; Squamata; Elapidae. The record is from RNAcentral.
AUGAGAGAUUUCCUGCAGUCUGACUUCAACAAUCAGUUUGAACAAAUGAAUUUGGAGACUCGUUUGAACCUUGCAAUUGCUUCUCAAAUUACAGCCCUGGACUAUAUUAAGGCAAAUCGGCAGCGGAGUCGAAGCAUGGCUUCCCUGAAAGAGAUAUUUUCAAAGGUGAAUUGUCUCCUUACACCAGGUACUGCAUGCUGUGCACCAGUAAUCCAUGAAUCAGACCUCCUUACUGGAUGUAGUGAUGUUCAGACAACUCUGCGGACCAUGAAAUACAUGCAGUUGGCCAACUUGACAGGCAUUCCAGCCCUAGUGGUACCAGUUGGAUAUACAAUUUCAGGGCUUCCCAUCAGUUUACAUAUGAUGACUAAGUGGUGGAAUGAAGCGUUGCUGUUCCAAAUAGGCCUGAAACUGGAGCAAUUUCAUGGGCUCAUAUGUGCUGUUGUGCACUGUCAUCUACCCAAAGUUUAAUCAUCUUGACCAGAGACAUGUAAAAAAAUUAAUUAAAGCAAGGGAGAGGCAGCUAUUAUGUGGCAGAAGGUUUAGCUGGCAUUCCAAGGCAAGUUACCUGAUCCAGGCUGUAAAACCCGAGAGGCCGAGGUAAGAGUGCUAUCCAAUUUUGUGUUGCCAUCUAGUAGCCAUCUACAUGUUUGCUGUUCACAUUUGGUAACUCUUAAUUCACAGAACUGAGUGUUUUCACAAAAUAGCUGUUAUGGUCAGUCACAAAACGUUCAGAUCACAGAACGAGUUCUUGCUUUUAUCCCUAUUUCUGGGCCUAUAGAUAUACCUUCAAAAAGAGGGACUAAGUUUUCUUUCCAAGAUGCCUUUUAAGAGCGCUGAACAUUCUUAUAAGUUACUCAAGGCUAGUAGUUUGCAGAGGCUAGGCUCAUUUACCAGUAAUUUUUUAAUUAAAAAUACUGCCAAAGAAGAUGGCCAUGGGCCCCACUUGGAUUACUCUGUUACAGAACAAAGUAUUAAAAACUUGUGUUUAUCUGUGAUUAUAAUAAAUAAAGGAAAAUACCAGUGUUUUAAAAUUCCAAUUCUAUAUAAAAUGCAAAAUGAAGGAUGCAGUACAACAUUGAAAUUGUGAGUACUCCAACAUUGGAGGAUUUAAGAGAUUAGACAACCAUUUAUCUCAAAUAGUAUAGGGUCUCCUGUUUGAACAGGGGGUUGGGCUAGAAGACCUCCAAGAUCCUUUCCAACUUUGUUAUUCUGUUAAAUACCAAUAUAAAAGGUGUGCUAAAUUCUUUUAUCUUCCUUGCUUGCCUACUAAGGAAUCCCAUGCAAAAUAGACAUAACAUGCAAUUUGAGAAUACAGGUAAUCCUCGAGUUAUGACAGUGACCAUUUGAAGUUACACCAUAACACCCCCACCCCCAUCCUGCUCUCUCAGACCUUCCAAAAAUCUGUCUCCCCUCUCUGCCAUGGUUUCUUUGCCUUUGAGAGGGAGAGAGAGAGAGAGUAGGACGAUUUUGUUCCCAGUGCCCGAUUGCCUUGCAAAUGCUUUUUGUGCUGAGUGGAAUGUUCUGGGGUCCAUGAUCUUGUGCAACUUCAGACACCCACCUGCUUUUGCAGAGAAUGGGUAUACCUGAAGUCAUGUGAGAUCACAGCCCCCAGAACAUUUCUCUCUCAGCGUGAAAAGCAUUUGGAAGGUGAUCGGACACUGGGAGAGAAAUUGCAUUGCUUCCAGCAUCUGGUAGGCUUGCAAAUGCUUUUCACGCUGGGAAUGAAAUGUUCUGGGGGAGUGUGAUCACAUGUGACAUCAGGCACCCAUCCGCUUUUGCAGAGAAUGGGUGCCCGAAGUUGCAUGUGAUCAACCCCCAAGAACAUUUCACUCUUGGCAAAAAGCAUUUGCAAGCCAACUGGACGCUCGGGUGGAAAUCAUCCUGCCCUCCUCUCCCUCAACGGCAAAGAAACUGCAGCAGAGGAGACAGAUCUUUGCAAGGUGUGCGAGUCCGGCAUGGCAAGAUGGGACAGGAGAAGCUCCCCCACAGCCUUCCUUACCCUGAGAUACCUCUUGCCAGUGACCACACAUUUGAUUAGUGAAUGUGUGGGUAAAAGCAGAGAACGAUCGCAUUCAAGUUACGUGAUUCACUUGUUGAAUUACAAAUGUAAUUGACAGGCUCCAUUACAUAACUCGAGCUUUACCUGUAUAACUCAAUGGGCAAAACAUGAUUUUGGCUAUUGCACCAGGUGAUGUUGAAUAAUAUUUUAUUUUAUUGCUCUAUGUGCUUGAAGGUGUUAUUAAAAUUAUUCUUUAAAUGUGAGGGGGCUGGAGUUUUCUGUCAAGUAAAGAAGUUUAAAACGAACUGAACGGCACCAUUACCAUUUCAGUGCUUUAAACGUAAAAAAAUUGGCAAGGUAUUUUUUUUAUAGCAUGAUCUUUUAAAAAGUCAGUGACCAUAAAAAGGGAUCCAGGAAGUUGCCCAUGUCUUGUCCACAACUGUAAGCAAUGGCCACCUUUGGCUAGAUGUAUAGCAAAUGGGCAAGCCCUAUACAUAAAGCCAACAGUGUUAUGGUGGCUAACCUGCUUGCACAAUAGAUAAAGGGACCACACAUACAAUGCUCUUGCUUCACAUAGAUAUAUGUUGAUAUACAGUAUAUACACAAUGAUGUCUUUAUAUAAAAUAACUUUGUUUAUAAAGUGACAUUUAACUGCCACUUGGCCCUUCCCUACCCCACAAAAAACAGUAGUAUACAAAAUAUAAAAUAUUUUUUUUAAAUAUUUAUAAACAGUUGCAAGGAAAAAAAAUAUAACUGUAUGAAAAUA